Molecule: ribosomal RNA, 465 nt
Filed under: uncultured Klebsiella sp.
Lineage: Bacteria; Pseudomonadati; Pseudomonadota; Gammaproteobacteria; Enterobacterales; Enterobacteriaceae
Description: bacterial SSU rRNA
Rfam family: Bacterial small subunit ribosomal RNA
Source: RNAcentral
CCUACGGGUGGCUGCAGUGGGGAAUAUUGCACAAUGGGCGCAAGCCUGAUGCAGCCAUGCCGCGUGUGUGAAGAAGGCCUUCGGGUUGUAAAGCACUUUCAGCGGGGCGGAAGGCGGUGAGGUUAAUAACCUCAUCGAUUGACGUUACCCGCAGAAGAAGCACCGGCUAACUCCGUGCCAGCAGCCGCGGUAAUACGGAGGGUGCAAGCGUUAAUCGGAAUUACUGGGCGUAAAGCGCACGCAGGCGGUCUGUCAAGUCGGAUGUGAAAUCCCCGGGCUCAACCUGGGAACUGCAUUCGAAACUGGCAGGCUAGAGUCUUGUAGAGGGGGGUAGAAUUCCAGGUGUAGCGGUGAAAUGCGUAGAGAUCUGGAGGAAUACCGGUGGCGGAGGCGGCCCCCUGGACAAAGACUGACGCUCAGGUGCGAAAGCGUGGGGAGCAAACAGGAUUAGAUACCCCAGUAGUC